RNAcentral lists this unclassified non-coding RNA (417 nucleotides) under Hevea brasiliensis (rubber tree). Lineage: Eukaryota; Viridiplantae; Streptophyta; Magnoliopsida; Malpighiales; Euphorbiaceae. The record is from RNAcentral.
UCUCCUUAAUAUUACCUACGAAAAAUAUUUCGUUGGUAAUUACCGACGAAAAAAAUUCGUAGGUAAAAUUUUUUAGCUUUUUAGAAAUUUUCUUCUCUAUUUUUUUCUUAAUAUUACCUACGAAAAACUUUUAGUAGGUAAUUACGGACGAAAAAUUUUUUUUAGGUAUUGUUUUUAAAAUUUUAUUUUCUAUUUUUUUCUUACUAUUACCUACGAAAAGCGUUUCGUUGGUAAUUACCGACGAAAAAAAUUCGUAGGUAAAAUUUUUUAGCUUUUUAGAAAUUUUCUUCUCUAUUUUUUUCUUAAUAUUACCUACGAAAAACUUUUAGUAGGUAAUUACGGACGAAAAAUUUUUUUUAGGUAUUGUUUUUAAAAUUUUAUUUUCUAUUUUUUUCUUACUAUUACCUACGAAAAGCG